UGGCUCAGGAUGAACGCUGGCGGCGUGCCUAAUACAUGCAAGUCGAGCGGUAAGGCUCCUUCGGGAGUACACGAGCGGCGGACGGCUGAGUAACGCGUAGGAACGUACCCCAAAGUGAGGGAUAAUCCGCUGAAAAGCGGACUAAUACCGCAUGUGGUCUUCGGAUUAAAGCUUCGGCGCUUUGGGAGCGGCCUGCGUAUGAUUAGAUUGUUGGUGAGGUAACGGCUCACCAAGUCGACGAUCAUUAGCUGGUCUGAGAGGAUGAUCAGCCAGACUGGGACUGAGAACGGCCCAGACUCCUACGGGAGGCAGCAGUAGGGAAUUUCCACAAUGGACGAAAGUCUGAUGGAGCAACGCCGCGUGCAGGAUGAAUGCCUUCGGGUUGUAAACUGCUUUUAUAUGUGACGAAUAUGACGGUAGCAUAUGAAUAAGGAUCGGCUAAUUCCGUG
Molecule: ribosomal RNA, 449 nt
Filed under: uncultured bacterium
Lineage: Bacteria
Description: bacterial SSU rRNA
Rfam family: Bacterial small subunit ribosomal RNA
Source: RNAcentral